Molecule: long non-coding RNA, 862 nt
Organism: Balaenoptera ricei (Rice's whale)
Lineage: Eukaryota; Metazoa; Chordata; Mammalia; Artiodactyla; Balaenopteridae
Exons: 2
Source: RefSeq, a predicted model, not a curated record
GGUGUCGUGGCUCUCGAGACCUGAAGGACCUUGUCCCGACCCUCGCUGUCUGUGGCGCGGACGCCGAGCCUUUCCGCGGAGUGCGGUGGGGUGCGGGGGGCUGGGGACGCGGCGGCCGGGCGGUGGAGUCGGCUUUUCAGGAAGCCCUCAGCCCGCGCCGCGGACGCGCUCUCUCCUCCGAGGGUGUCAGUAAUAUACACUAAUGUGAACGAAUCCAGUAAAAAGAGUGGCUUGAAAAGUAACCAGCAUGAAUAACAUGGUAUCAUCUACGGAAAAAUCCACUCCAGCUUCAGAAUACCUGGCUUAAAAAGAACUUUCAUAAUGGACCCAUUUCAUGGGAUUGUUUUAUCCUGCAUUCUUGGGGUCUUAGACUGCUUACCUAGAGUUUUAAGAUCUAUGUGAACUAACUCUUCUUUUGGUAAGUUAAUAAUGAAAUAAAAUAGUAUCCAAGCUAAAUCAACUAUUGGAUGUGUUUUAUUAUUUUUUGUUAUGUUUUUGUGACACUUGUACAUGGUGAAGAAGUAACUGAGCAAAAAUGCUACAUAGUAUGUUCACAACUCAUUUUGAAUAUUGUGUGUUUUUUAUAAAAAUUACCUGUCUUUAUGUAUAAUUGUAGAAUUUUGAGGUAUGUUUAUUAAAGUCCUUCCAGGGAUAUGUUGUACUAUUAGAUUGCAGGUUAAGGGGAAGCUAUAGAAUCCUUUUUACCAGUUUUACCUUUGAUAGUUGUGCUUUUAUAUACAACAUAAUGUGAACAGCCAAUGUAAAUUUUUAAAAUUUGUAGUUAUAUUUAUCUCUGUGCUGUGCACAUUUUAUUUUUCUCACUUUCUCUCCUCAAAUAAAUUAUGAGCUUUUUUUAACACCA